Molecule: ribosomal RNA, 497 nt
Filed under: uncultured bacterium
Lineage: Bacteria
Description: partial 16S ribosomal RNA
Rfam family: Bacterial small subunit ribosomal RNA
Source: RNAcentral
GAUGAACGCUGGCGGCGUGCCUAAUACAUGCAAGUCGAGCGAACGGACGAGAAGCUUGCUUCUCUGAUGUUAGCGGCGGACGGGUGAGUAACACGUGGAUAACCUACCUAUAAGACUGGGAUAACUUCGGGAAACCGGAGCUAAUACCGGAUAAUAUUUUGAACCGCAUGGUUCAAAAGUGAAGGACGGUCUUGCUGUCACUUAUAGAUGGAUCCGCGCUGCAUUAGCUAGUUGGUAAGGUAACGGCUUACCAAGGCAACGAUGCAUAGCCGACCUGAGAGGGUGAUCGGCCACACUGGAACUGAGACACGGUCCAGACUCCUACGGGAGGCAGCAGUAGGGAAUCUUCCGCAAUGGGCGAAAGCCUGACGGAGCAACGCCGCGUGAGUGAUGAAGGUCUUCGGAUCGUAAAACUCUGUUAUUAGGGAAGAACAUAUGUGUAAGUAACUGUGCACAUCUUGACGGUACCUAAUCAGAAGGCCACGGCUAACUACGUG